This 347-nucleotide unclassified non-coding RNA is filed under the name soil metagenome. RNAcentral's name for it is "partial contains 5.8S ribosomal RNA, internal transcribed spacer 2, and large subunit ribosomal RNA". The stretch from base 1 to 120 matches the Rfam family "5.8S ribosomal RNA", at positions 35 to 154 of the family's 154-position model. The record is from RNAcentral.
GAUGAAGAACGCAGCAAAAUGCGAUAAGUAAUGUGAAUUGCAGAAUUCAGUGAAUCAUCGAAUCUUUGAACGCACAUUGCGCCCGCUGGUAUUCCGGCGGGCAUGUCUGUUCGAGCGUCAUUUCAACCCUCAAGCCCCCCGGGUUUGGUGUUGGGGAUCGGCUCUGCCUCACGGCGGUGCCGCCCCCGAAAUACAUUGGCGGUCUCGCUGCAGCCUCCAUUGCGUAGUAGCUAACACCUCGCAACUGGAACGCGGCGCGGCCAUGCCGUAAAACCCCAACUUCUGAAUGUUGACCUCGGAUCAGGUAGGAAUACCCGCUGAACUUAAGCAUAUCAAUAAGCGGAGGA